UUAGUCUCAGUUCGGAGUUGCAGGCUGCAACUCGCCUGCAUGAAGUCGGAAUUGCUAGUAAUCGCGGAUCAGAAUGCCGCGGUGAAUGCGUUCCCGGGGUCUUGUACACACCGCCCGUCACACCACGGAAGUUGGGGGUGCCCAAAGUUGGCAGGAUAAUAUGUUACCUAAGGCAAAACCGAUGACUGGGGUGAAGUCGUAACAAGGUAGC
This 211-nucleotide ribosomal RNA is filed under the name uncultured bacterium. RNAcentral's name for it is "partial 16S ribosomal RNA". It matches the Rfam family "Bacterial small subunit ribosomal RNA", at positions 1282 to 1500 of the family's 1533-position model. The record is from RNAcentral.